AGACGGGUGGGGAUGGGGUUAUCAGAGACGCCUUUAGCAUGAGCCAGGCUUGGGUGCACUGAGCUGUGAGGAGCAGGUGGGCCUUUUAGGGGGCAGAAGCUGAAAGCCAGUGCCUGGGGCAGGUGGGUAUGAGGUGAGUAUGGGUUGCAGGUCCCUCUGGCUGGAGAGGACGGAAGUACAUAGAUCAGACCACAGAGGGACUUGUGGGCCACUGCAGGCUGCCACAUAGCUUAAAUUUUCCCUAAGAAUGAGGCCAGUCCCGAUAGGUCUAGAAGUGACAUGCUAAAAAUCAGUCACUUGAGCCUGGCCCCACUGAAGAUCAAAGAUCUUAUCCUAUAAACGAAAUGCAGUCACUUCUCAGCCAGGCGAUGACCUAAAUUACAGCCAGCAGAAAACACAGGCAUUUUCUAACGUUCACAUCAUCCGUCUCUAAGACUUCGUGGGAACUUCCAAUGGAGGACAGUGAGGGUGAACGGUGACAUGCCUACAAGUGCAAAGGGGGAUGCACUAGCAACGAUGUCCUCGUCCUUUUAUUUUCCUCUGUGUUGAGUUUUGCACCCCUUAAGAUGACACGGCGACUAUUUCCCCCCAAAUUAUUACACUUCAAAGUCGCUUUGGCUGGUAGAAUGUCUCUGAGCUCCACCCACAUUUCCCCUCUCUCAGCCCUUUUGGGGUCUGUUUCCAGGAGUCCCAUCCCCUGGGGCAGCCGCUCUGCAGAGCUGGGCUCCAGCCCGGGAACUGCAGCCGUCUCAGCUCUGCUUCCUCUCUCCCUCUCUCUUCGGCUGCAACAGCUCACGCAGCCUCAGAAGCACUCCACCCCAUCCAAAGAUACAUCUUGGCAGAGAAAAUCAAGACAGAUUUUGUUUUAAAAGGUAGGCGAUGGCAGAGCCACUUUCUUCCCUGGAAGAAAGUCUACAGCCAGGCAACCUGCUGGCUUCAUCCUCCAAUGCCUGUGGACGACGGUUGAAGGAGGAAAAUGUCUUUAGAAGGAGACUGUGGCCGCCUGAAGGAGCUUGGAGAGAGGUCCCACUCAGCUCAGCAAACACCUACCGGAUGGGAGCCCAGCCCGAUGUUGCCGGGUGCAAGACCCCCCAGCGCCGAGCCUCUGGGACUGAGCUAGGUUGAGCCUGAACUGAGUCACGGGGCAGGGAGAGCCCGGGCACGGUGCAAUCCGACAGAGACAGAAAGCCUGCGAGCUGGAGGUGGAACCCACUUCCCUCUGAGCUCACCGCGACACAGGCGGCAAUCGUAGAGCAUUUUACAGCCCCCAAGCAUUGAGACACACGCUGUCCAUUUGAUUCUCACCGUAGCCCUGCGAGAAACGCGCUCUCAGGCUUGUUUCCGAGGUGAGAAAACAAGAGGCACGGAGAGGCUAACUGGCUUGCCCCAGGUGUCCCAGAGCCAGCACCUGGAGGAGCCGGGGCUGCCGAGCGUCCGACCGCACACCUUGGCUCCACGCCUCGACCGUCUGGGAUGCAGCCAGCAGGCUGAGGCCCACGCUCGGGGGAAUGACCCCAGGCAUGAGCUGUGUGACCAGCUUAGCUCUGUGUGAGUCACUGAAACUGUUUCGGCUUCAUUUUAACCCAGCUGCAUGCGGGAGGGGACUGACUCCAGCUCUCACACCCUCCCAGAAGGAAGGCAGAACUACUUGGCAUGCAGGAGAAAUGAGGAGAAGCAGACUACACGCUUCCUGUGCAUUCUGUCCCUCGGAGGAUGAUCACACCAAGAACCGAGAACACAGAAGGAGAUCUUCAAACCUGACAACAUUAGCAAACCUCACAAGGCUAUUAUAAAGACAACAUGGAAUACAGCAUACUGUGAGCCCCUCGAGGGAAGGGACUAGAUCUUCUUCAUCUUGAGUACAAAGAGCAGAGUGAGGGCCCAGUGUCUGAGGGGCUGAGGAUGGUGGCCUGAUACCUUUAGGGCUUCAAAAAGCUGGGCCCUCUGUCCUGCAGUGUGGAGCCCAAAAGGCAUCCAGAGGAAGGAAAGGGAAGGUGCUGGGGAGGCCCUGACACCUGAGGACAGCUGUGAGCAGGUGAAGGAGAAGGAGGGAGAGGACCUCAAGGUGCCUGCCCUCUCUAAGCCUCUCUACACGGUGAAGACUGGACAGUCAUGCACAUCUGUUCGGUUCAAUUCAUCCAUUCAAUCGAUUCACAUUUUUGGAGCACUGACUCCAGAAGGUUCUUUUAGGCAAAUCUCCAUUCUCUAUUCAGCCUUCCCCAGACCACUAUGAAGUGUGCGGCACCCACACUGCCUGUCCCUACUCCCACAACCAUGACAGCCAUGGCUAAUGGGUCAGAGUGUCUGUCACCUGGUGUCAUCUCAGAGUCCUUCUCCAUAAAGCAGCCAUUCCUGAUGAAUGUGGUUCUGACUUGGCCUGAAAGCUACUUCCCAUCUUUGGCCCAGACCUUAGAUCACUGCACACGUCCUGAGGCCCCCAUCAAUUUCAGAAGCUUGUAAUUUCCCCCACCAAAAUGCUACCAUGCUUCAAUUCUUUCCACCUUUCUUUAUAGAAGAACUUUUCUCACCCACUGCUAGAAAGAGGAGAGAGCCGUUAGGUAUUAAGAAGGUGAAAAGCAGGCAGACAAAAGUACAAGUCUCCCACCUUUAUCCACUCACAUUUGGAAGGUGUUUGGAAAGAUCUCAAGCCUUGGAUUAGGAUGAUGGAGUUAAAUGCGAUUCUUUCUGUAUUUUCAUUUUCUCGAAUUCUGUAUUAAGUACGCAUUACUUUUCUAAGUAGGAGAAACGCAUUUUGUAAAAGUACAUUUUAUUUUAAAAAGUUACUCAGACUUAGUAUUACGUACUCUUUCGUACCUUGUGAACAACAAACCAUGUGACUAUACUACCUAAUAAAAAAAUAAGUACAUUAAAA
Molecule: long non-coding RNA, 2872 nt
Organism: Microcebus murinus (gray mouse lemur)
Lineage: Eukaryota; Metazoa; Chordata; Mammalia; Primates; Cheirogaleidae
Source: RefSeq, a predicted model, not a curated record